GGAGCGUUGCCAGAGUGGUAAUGGAGCGGAUUGCUAAUCCGUCAUGGGGUUAAACUCAUGCAUAGGUUCGAGUCCUAUACGCUCCGCCA
Molecule: transfer RNA, 89 nt
Filed under: Alphaproteobacteria bacterium
Lineage: Bacteria; Pseudomonadati; Pseudomonadota; Alphaproteobacteria
Also listed under: 1 other name
Description: tRNA-Ser
Rfam family: tRNA
About the family: Transfer RNA (tRNA) molecules are approximately 80 nucleotides in length.
Source: RNAcentral